UAACCACGAUUCGACUGACGCAUAUCACCUAUAUACGUAUGAUAUAUAUAUAUAUACAUAGACAUAAUUACGAUCGGACAAACAACACACGUCGCUAUAGGCGCGGCUAAUUAAGCACUCGUACGAGAGAAAGUGCAUUGUGUUAUGCGCGUGGCCCUACGACGACGUGCACCCUGCGACGUGCACGCGAGCUCGACCUCUGACAAAAGAAAGGAAAAUAAAAAAAAAAGAAAAGAAAA
RNAcentral lists this long non-coding RNA (239 nucleotides) under Polistes fuscatus (common paper wasp). Its description in RNAcentral is "uncharacterized LOC122523481". Lineage: Eukaryota; Metazoa; Arthropoda; Insecta; Hymenoptera; Vespidae. The record is from RNAcentral.